This 493-nucleotide ribosomal RNA is filed under the name uncultured bacterium. RNAcentral describes it as "partial 16S ribosomal RNA". It matches the Rfam family "Bacterial small subunit ribosomal RNA", at positions 28 to 507 of the family's 1533-position model. The record is from RNAcentral.
GACGAACGCUGGCGGCGUGCCUAACACAUGCAAGUUUAGCGACGAACCAGGGCUUGCCCUGGGGCAAAGCAGCGAACGGGUGAGUAACACGUGGGUAACCUACCCCGAUAACCGGGACAACCCGAGGAAACUCGGGCUAAUACCGGAUGUGCUCACUGGACUUCGGUUCAGUGCGUAAAGGAAGCUUCGGCCUCCGUAUCGGGAGGGGCCCGCGGCCCAUUAGUUUGUUGGUGAGGUAACGGCUCACCAAGACCGCGAUGGGUAGCUGGUCUGAGAGGACGAUCAGCCACACUGGGACUGAGACACGGCCCAGACUCCUACGGGAGGCAGCAGUGGGGAAUCUUGCGCAAUGCGCGAAAGCGUGACGCAGCAACGCCGCGUGGGGGAAGAAGGCCUUCGGGUUGUAAACCCCUUUCAGGAGGGACGAAGGUUCGGCGGUGAAUAGCCGUCCGGACUGACGGUACCUCCACAAGAAGCCCCGGCUAACUACGUG